UAUGAACCUGUUUUGUUUGUUCUUUUGUAGUUUUGCAUAGUUUUCACUCAGUCAUUCACACACACAGAUUCACGCGUCUAUGCACUUUACAUACACCUUACAUUAUGAUACUUCCACUCCUCAUUCCUUUUUCUUAGUUUAAAGUUAAUAGUUUUGUUUACAACAAAGAAUUUUUUAAUUGGCCCAUACCUGUUCGUGUCCCCUCAUUUUUGCCACAAUGAGCCGGCCUCUGACAAGUGGGGGCUUAUCUCGAGUGUCAAUAGGAGGCUCGUGGUGUUUUUGUUUUAGGUGGCAGUGAACGUGGGUAGAGAAUCCCUUUCCGUUUUCCCUUACAUCCGCUCCGGAGCACCUCCGUGGUUAUUGGGGGGGCGCCAGUUUCUGGUUGUCUUUUCCACCCCACUGGUUUUGUGCAUAAAACCCCCACCACAUGUGACUGCACGAAGACCAGGGCCAGUUGUUUUUGGAGGAUAGUGGGGUGUGGCUCCUGUCCUUGAACCCAGACUGACAGCAGAGAGAGUAUGGAACCAGCAGAGAGGGGGGGAAACUAUAUCUGGAAGAAGGCCACCGAGACAGAGGAGCUAUCCAUGAAGAACCACUAAGACGGUGACAAUCCCGUGACCUUUGUUGUAGUUUAAAGAUAAUAUAGAUAAUUAUAUAUUGUGUUUCUGUUUGAUCUGGAGAAGAUGAAUGUUUUUCCUUGGGAG
Oncorhynchus tshawytscha (Chinook salmon) is the source of this 704-nucleotide long non-coding RNA. Lineage: Eukaryota; Metazoa; Chordata; Actinopteri; Salmoniformes; Salmonidae. The record is from Ensembl.